AGUGAACGCUGGCGGUAGGCCUAACACAUGCAAGUCGAACGGCAGCACAGUAAGAGCUUGCUCUUACGGGUGGCGAGUGGCGGACGGGUGAGGAAUACAUCGGAAUCUACUUUUUCGUGGGGGAUAACGUAGGGAAACUUACGCUAAUACCGCAUACGACCUACGGGUGAAAGCAGGGGAUCUUCGGACCUUGCGCGAUUGAAUGAGCCGAUGUCGGAUUAGCUAGUUGGCGGGGUAAAGGCCCACCAAGGCGACGAUCCAUAGCUGGUCUGAGAGGAUGAUCAGCCACACUGGAACUGAGACACGGUCCAGACUCCUACGGGAGGCAGCAGUGGGGAAUAUUGGACAAUGGGCGCAAGCCUGAUCCAGCCAUACCGCGUGGGUGAAGAAGGCCUUCGGGUUGUAAAGCCCUUUUGUUGGGAAAGAAAAGCAGCAGGUUAAUACCCCGCUGUUCUGACGGUACCCAAAGAAUAAGCACCGGCUAACUUCGUGC
Molecule: ribosomal RNA, 493 nt
Filed under: uncultured bacterium
Lineage: Bacteria
Description: partial 16S ribosomal RNA
Rfam family: Bacterial small subunit ribosomal RNA
Source: RNAcentral